This 735-nucleotide long non-coding RNA is filed under the name Brachypodium distachyon (stiff brome). Its description in RNAcentral is "long non-coding RNA (BDIS_LNC000935)". Lineage: Eukaryota; Viridiplantae; Streptophyta; Magnoliopsida; Poales; Poaceae. The record is from RNAcentral.
UCCAAUCUACCUCCUCCAACUCCAAUCCACCGCAGGCCUCCUUCUCCUCCCAAUAUCUGCUCCUGCUUCUUCUCCUUCUUCCUUCUCCCUUCUUCCUCCUCGCCCUUGCACUCUGUCGCGAAUCUCUGAUCUACUGCUGAUGUUUCUCCUCGAAUUUCUGAUCUCCCACUGCUCUUUAUCCUCUAAUCCUUGAGCAUGGCGGCGGCGGUGGACCGUGCUCUCGUUGGGACGCGAAGGAGGCAGGAAGUACAAAGAGGGAGGGAUGGAGAGGACCACGCUGCGGCCGCUGCCCUCUACUCGUCAUCUUCAAGCGCAUGAUUUGAAGAAUCCUCCGGCGGUGGCGCGCGGCUUCUCUCUGGCGACGCGUGAUUUGGAGGACCCUCCGGCGGCGGCGAGGAUCAGGCCUUCUUCAACGGAGGCAGCAGUGGCUUCUCCCCUUCCUUGGGCUUCACAGUUGUCAACGCUUUUCUAGAGUCGACGCAAGAAGAUGAGUCGAGUCUAAAUUUUUUUCCUUAGCUAGCAGAGCUGCAAUGGUAAGGGUCGGUUCUUCAAGUUCUUAGACCCUUCUUAGCACCGGGUUUUGACCAACGUUGGGCUUGCUCUUAGGCAGUUGUAUUCUGAAUUUUUGUUAGUGUGAUGGGUGGGAAGCUGCUCGUGGGGUUUUAUAGCUGUAUAGUUUUGUUCCACUCUAAUUAACAUGAGCAUAUGUAUUUCGUUCAACAAAAGAAAUAUGAG